GCCCUGGUAACUCAGCGCGGAUAGAGUUUCCGCCUCCUACGCGGAAUGUCGCCGGUUCAAAUCCGGCCCAGGGCGCCA
This 78-nucleotide transfer RNA is filed under the name Planctomycetia bacterium. RNAcentral describes it as "tRNA-Arg". It matches the Rfam family "tRNA". Rfam says of the family: Transfer RNA (tRNA) molecules are approximately 80 nucleotides in length. Lineage: Bacteria; Pseudomonadati; Planctomycetota; Planctomycetia. The record is from RNAcentral.